UACCAGCACCCCGAGUGGUCGGGACGUUUAUUGGGCCUAAAGCAUCCGUAGCCGGUUCUACAAGUCUUCCGUUAAAUCCAGCUGCUUAACAGAUGGGCUGCGGAAGAUACUAUGGAGCUAGGAGGCGGGAGAGGCAAGCGGUACUCGAUGGGUAGGGGUAAAAUCCGUUGAUCCAUUGAAGACCACCAGUGGCGAAGGCGGCUCACUGGCCCGGUACUGACGCUGAGGUGCGAAAGCGUGGGGAGCAAACAGG
Molecule: ribosomal RNA, 253 nt
Filed under: uncultured bacterium
Lineage: Bacteria
Description: partial 16S ribosomal RNA
Rfam family: Archaeal small subunit ribosomal RNA
Source: RNAcentral